GCUCAAGUAGCUUAACCCUUAAAGCACCGUUCUUGUAAAACGAAGCUGGACCCCACCCUUGAGCA
This 65-nucleotide transfer RNA is filed under the name Vipera berus (adder). Its description in RNAcentral is "tRNA-Thr". The record is from RNAcentral. Lineage: Eukaryota; Metazoa; Chordata; Lepidosauria; Squamata; Viperidae. RNAcentral also lists the same sequence under 3 other names.